RNAcentral lists this ribosomal RNA (435 nucleotides) under denitrifying bacterium W118b. RNAcentral's name for it is "bacterial SSU rRNA". It matches the Rfam family "Bacterial small subunit ribosomal RNA", at positions 13 to 496 of the family's 1533-position model. The record is from RNAcentral. Lineage: Bacteria; Pseudomonadati; Pseudomonadota; Alphaproteobacteria.
UUGAUCCUGGCUCAGAACGAACGCUGGCGGCAGGCUUAACACAUGCAAGUCGAGCGCCCCGCAAGGGGAGCGGCAGACGGGUGAGUAACGCGUGGGAACGUACCCUUUACUACGGAAUAACGCAUGGAAACGUGUGCUAAUACCGUAUGUGCCCUUUGGGGGAAAGAUUUAUCGGUAAAGGAUCGGCCCGCGUUGGAUUAGCUAGUUGGUGGGGUAAAGGCCUACCAAGGCGACGAUCCAUAGCUGGUCUGAGAGGAUGAUCAGCCACAUUGGGACUGAGACACGGCCCAAACUCCUACGGGAGGCAGCAGUGGGGAAUAUUGGACAAUGGGCGCAAGCCUGAUCCAGCCAUGCCGCGUGAGUGAUGAAGGCCCUAGGGUUGUAAAGCUCUUUCACCGGUGAAGAUAAUGACGGUAACCGGAGAAGAAGCCCCGG